RNAcentral lists this ribosomal RNA (253 nucleotides) under uncultured bacterium. RNAcentral's name for it is "partial 16S ribosomal RNA". It matches the Rfam family "Bacterial small subunit ribosomal RNA", at positions 524 to 776 of the family's 1533-position model. The record is from RNAcentral.
UACGGGGGGGGCAAGCGUUGUUCGGAAUUACUGGGCGUAAAGGGCUCGUAGGCGGCCAACUAAGUCGGAUGUGAAAUCCCCAAGCUUAGCUUGGGAACUGCAUCCGAUACUGGAUGGCUUGAAUCCGGGAGAGGGAUGCAGAAUUCCAGGUGUAGCGGUGAAAUGCGUAGAUAUCUGGAGGAAUACCGGUGGCGAAGGCGGCAUCCUGGACCGGCAUUGACGCUGAGGAGCGAAAGCUAGGGGAGCAAACGGG